GACGAACGCUGGCGGCGUGCUUAACACAUGCAAGUCGAACGAAAAUACCAAGCUUGCUUGGUUGAUUAGUGGCGAACGGGUGAGUAACACGUGAGUAACCUGCCCCUUACUUUCUGGAUAACUGCUCGAAAGGGUAGCUAAUACGGGAUAUUCUGGCCUUCCUGCAUGGGUUGGUUUGGAAAGGUUGUUUUUUCUGGUGAGGGAUGGGCUCGCGGCCUAUCAGCUUGUUGGUGGGGUGAUGGCCUACCAAGGCGACGACGGGUAGCCGGCCUGAGAGGGUGACCGGCCACACUGGGACUGAGACACGGCCCAGACUCCUACGGGAGGCAGCAGUGGGGAAUAUUGCACAAUGGGCGCAAGCCUGAUGCAGCGACGCCGCGUGAGGGAUGACGGCCUUCGGGUUGUAAACCUCUGUUAGCAGGGAAGAAGAGAAAUUGACGGUACCUGCAGAGAAAGCGCCGGCUAACUACGUGCCAGCAGCCGCGGUAAUACGUAGGGCGCGAGCGUUGUCCGGAAUUAUUGGGCGUAAAGAGCUUGUAGGCGGUUUGUCGCGUCUGCUGUGAAAGGCCGGGGCUUAACCCCGUGUAUUGCAGUGGGUACGGGCAGACUAGAGUGCAGUAGGGGAGACUGGAAUUCCUGGUGUAGCGGUGGAAUGCGCAGAUAUCAGGAGGAACACCGAUGGCGAAGGCAGGUCUCUGGGCUGUAACUGACGCUGAGAAGCGAAAGCAUGGGGAGCGAACAGG
This 743-nucleotide ribosomal RNA is filed under the name Rothia mucilaginosa. RNAcentral's name for it is "bacterial SSU rRNA". It matches the Rfam family "Bacterial small subunit ribosomal RNA", at positions 28 to 776 of the family's 1533-position model. Lineage: Bacteria; Bacillati; Actinomycetota; Actinomycetes; Micrococcales; Micrococcaceae. The record is from RNAcentral.